UUUCCCUCCCAUUCCUAGAUAAUAGAUGUAGUAUGAUUCUUGUCUCAUAUGUAACGGCUCUUUUUCCCUCGUAUUCCAAUUCUCAACAGCUUCUAGCCAUUUUGAAAUAUUUGGGUUUCGUGUCUCCUGGCUCUGGCUAGGGUUAAGGAUUUCCAAGAUGAAAAUCAGUCGCAAACCCAAGAAACCAGAUCCAUCUUCAAAGCUGGUUUUGGAAGAAAUCAUUGGCUUGACGACAAAGAAUGCCAAUGGGUUGGCUUCCAGCAUCAAGAAUGGGAAUUGUGUUUACAUGGCUGGCUAUGUUGCGGUGGUUUACAAUGUGGAUUCGGGCACUCAGUCCCAUCUCAUGGUGUCUCAUCGAAUGCCAAAGCCUUUGAACUGUGUUGCUGUCUCGCAGGAUGGGCGUUUCAUUGCUGCUGGAGAGUCAGGGCACCAACCUGCAGUGCUAGUGUGGGACUCUAAGACUCUGGCUUUCAUAUCUGAACUGAAAUGUCAUCAAUAUGGGGUUGUAUGCAUUGCCUUUUCACCUGAUGGGAAACAUCUGGUGUCUGUUGGAUUUCCACAUGAUGGAUAUAUCUGCCUUUGGGACUGGCAAAGAGGGUUGCUGGUUGCAAAGCUUAAAUCAAGUUCGUCUUGUUCUGCCAUUGCAUCUGUUAGCUUCUCAUCAGAUGGAAAAUUAAUUAUAACAGCGGGAAAGAAGCACUUGAAGUUUUGGAUGGUUGGAUCUUCAACAAGGCUUCGCACAGAUACUGGCACUGGGUCAAUAGCAAUGCAUGGAAAACCUAUUAAUCUUGGUUAUCAUAAAGGAAGCUCUUUUACAUCGGUCUCAUCCCCCAUUUGGGCUUCUAGUAGUCUGGGUGGUAAAGAAGAGACUUGUGAAUUGUUUCCUAUCUAUGCACUAACCGAUGUAGGUGUUUUAUGCUUACUGGAUUCUGGGUUGUCAGUACAAAAGUCAGUGGAUUUAGAGGUUGAGAAAGGUUUUGCACUAUCUACGUCCGACAAGUUAAUUGCUUGUGCAUGCAGUAAUGGAAUUGUACAACUCUUUACCAUUGAAACUCUUGAAUAUGCUGGAAGUUUACAAUAUUCACAGUCCAAAAUAUGUGAAGAGGCAAAGAAUAAGAUUUGUCAUGCAGAAGUCUCAAAAACGAAUUGUCAACUUGGUCCUACACUUCCUGAUGCAAUUGCCUGUCAAUUCUCAACCUCAAGGAAGCUUGUGGUUGUUUAUGGAGAUCACAGUCUUUAUAUAUGGGACAUUCAUGACGUACACAAGGCUAGCAGGUGCUGUGUGCUUGUCUCACAUAGUGCAUGCAUAUGGGAUAUCAAGAGUCUCUCUUGUGAAAACAUGCAUGAUCCGUCUCUUGCAUGUGUAGCUAGGGGUUGUUAUGGUGGAGUUUCUUUUGCAACAUGUUCUGCGGAUGGUAAUAUUAGGUUAUGGGAUCUUGCCUUGCAAUCUGAUAUUUCAGAGGAUACCACAUCCAAACUUGCCGUGGACCAUUGUUCUUUAAUUACUGAACCUGUGGGGACUACACACUUAGUAAGUGCAGGGAUCCUUGAAAGUGAGAAUGUGGGUUCUGGUGUUGGCACACAAGGAUUUCGAUCUAUGGCAGUUAGCUCAGAUGGAAAGUACCUGGCUGCUGGUGACUGCCAGGGAAACCUGCACAUUUACAAUCUACACACUUCUGAUUAUACCUGUUUCCAGGAUGCUCAUGAUGCAGAGAUUCUAUCAUUGAGCUUUAACUUGCCAAGCAGGAAGGAUUUUACUUCUCAUGAAAUUAAAAGCCAUUACUUCCUUGCAUCUGGGGGACGAGAUCGUUUAAUCCAUCUUUAUGAUGUUGAGAGGAAUUUUGAUCUUGUUGGAAGUGCUGAUGAUCAUUCAGCUUCUGUGACUUCUGUAAAACUCACUUCCAAUGGCAGUAAGAUUCUUAGUUGCAGUGCUGAUCGGUCUCUAGUGUUCCGUGAUGUGGCUGUAAUGGCUACUGGUUGUAAGAUCUCCCGUCGCCAUCAUCAAAUGGCAUCUCAUGGCACUGUGUAUGACAUGGCUGUUGAUCCAAAAUUGGAGGUUGCUAUUACAGUUGGACAGGAUAAGAAGAUAAACACAUUCAACAUUGCUUCUGGGAAACUUAUUAAAUCAUUAAAGCAAGAUGGAGAUUUGGGAGACCCAAUAAAGGUCACCAUUGACCCAAGCUGCACUUACCUUGUUUGUUCCUACUCUAACAAGUCCAUCUGCAUGUAUGACUUUAUCACGGGAGAGAUGGUUGCACAAGAAAUGGGGCAUAGUGAAGUUAUAACUGGUGUUAUUUUCUUACCUGACUGCAAGCACAUUAUUUCUGUAGGUGGUGAUAGCUGUAUUUUUGUUUGGAAAUUGCCGACCUCUUUGUCUUCAAGGAUGCUGCAGAGAAUCAAGGAAAGUUCUGAUCCUUUGUCUCCAGCAAGCAUGCUCCUGCCGCUCUCAUCAAGUCGUCGGAUCUUGUCCCUUGAAGAGGAUUACCACCUAUGCGAAAUCAAUCCUGAAGAUAAAUCCUUGCCAACAGAUUUCAACAAAGUCAAUCGAAGUGUGCGACAAGAAAAGAAUCAUCAAGAGACCUCAGCAUUUAAAUUUAGCAUUUCAAGACUUCCUAAGUGGGCACGAUCUAAAGUAACUAGUUCUGAGAAUGCCCAUGGAGAUGCUGUGGUCAUUUCAUCUGAGCAGAUGGAACUGAAAAAUUUCUCCCCCAUAGUCGGUAGUUGUGAUGGACAUGAUUUUGUGUACCCUGAAGUUCAAACUCCUCCUAAACAUGAUAUGGGAGAUAAAAAGCAGUGCCUUGGUACCAUAUUCAGCAGUUCAUCUGAUACUGAUUGCAGUGGAAGUUCUUCCAUGCCUCCAGAAAUCCAUAGAAAUUUUGCUAUGGACAAUCGUUGGCUCACAAUUCACACUGUUUGUCUGGAUCUACUGAACUCCCCAGAGAUUUGGGACGUCAAUGACAUGAGGACGCCAGUGUCCAGCCCACAUUUAUUACAAAGCAUGGCUGUAGAGACACCAAUUAAUGAAGAGCACAAAGAAAUUUCAUCAAGAGGUCACACAGUAGUGAAUCAUUUUUCUGUGGAGCACCCUUCAAGCCAUGGUAACCAUGUUGUAGAUGAUGGACCAGAGGCGACUUUAAGUGGACAUCCUCAAUAUCAUGCUCCUGGGUCUAUGUUUGAGAACAAUGAUCAACUUUGUGUUCAUAAUGCAAGUGCAUGCAAUUAUGAUGUUGUUAGUGAAGUGUCAGCACAGUUGCAAUCAAACACAACUGAGAGCAGGGUGCAAACAAAUUUAGACUUCAAGUCCCAAGACAAUGACCUGUUCAACCAGCAUUUCAGUAAUUUAUCGACUGUACCAAAGACAGAGGGAAGGAAAUCUUCAGGUAGGAGAAGAUUCUCUGCGCGUUUUGUUGUGCGGCAAGACUGUAUUGGAGACUGCAGUAGACUUUUUGAGACUUACAUUAAAGAUUUAGGUAGUGAAACCUUGAAUUGUGGGGAAGAAUCGUCCUUGCACUCUAUAUUUAAGAAUCCGUCAAUUCCAGGGCUUGAAGAACCACAGUUAAUAGAUGCUUUUGAACAGGACACCAAUAACUCACCUCAAGGCUCGCUGAGCUCAAGUCACACAGAGUCUCAAAGUGAAUGCUUUGUCCAAAAAAAUUCGUUGUGUAUGGAAGUAAGAGAAGUCAGAGACCAGAAGGAAUGUAUUAUUAAGGGAACUGAAAUGGAGGAACCUAUAAUUGCAUGCAAGAAGGCAUUGAUCUGUUUGGAUGCUGCAGCUGGGAGUGCACUCCGGUUAUUUUCUAAUUUGGAAAAUUUGGUUUCUAGAGAAGAGAUUUCAAGUGGGCCUGAAGCUGAUUUAUACCAUCAUGCAGCAGAGCUGCUACCAUCAAUAGCAGAGAAGGUUAAUGCCAUUGCCAAAUUGGUGCAAGCCAGCAAGAAUAAUUUGUGUGGAAAAACUAGAAAGGAAUUUUCAACCCUUGAACCUCUGUUAGGAACAUUUGCGGAGAAUCUCUCAUGAAGGGUGGUUGGGAUGCUGAAGAUCAAGCUCGACACUCUGGGGCAUGUUCCUUGACCCAACGAGAAAAGAAGAGAGGAAAAAGAAGUUGCAAUGGAGGUAGAUGCAGACCAUACAAGUCAUGCAUAGACAUUAUUAAGGAAAAAGAGUAACAAGGGCACACUAUGCUGCCUUCCUCAAGUAGUCCUUAAACUCCAACAGUUAAUUUCUUGUUGAGCCACCUCCAUAUGGACCGACAAAGAAGGAUUUCAACAAAUUCUCAUGGCAUCAAAAUUUCUGCUAUUAAUCUGCUUCCAGAUGCACCAAUCUUUGUCCAAGCCCUAUGCACAGCUUCUGCUG
Vitis vinifera (wine grape) is the source of this 4351-nucleotide RNA transcript. RefSeq lists it as uncharacterized. Lineage: Eukaryota; Viridiplantae; Streptophyta; Magnoliopsida; Vitales; Vitaceae. The record is from RefSeq and is a predicted model, not a curated record. The transcript has 21 exons.